This 588-nucleotide long non-coding RNA is filed under the name Vulpes vulpes (red fox). Its description in RNAcentral is "lncRNA (ENSVVUG00000011916.1)". Lineage: Eukaryota; Metazoa; Chordata; Mammalia; Carnivora; Canidae. The record is from RNAcentral.
AUGUUCUUGCUACUGAAUAAACAUGAUGUAUACCCCAUGUUAUCAAGAGGAUUCAUAGAUGAACAUGUGCUGGGUGCCUCUAAAGAAAGUAGAUCAACAAGUUUUUUUCUUUUGGUGAAGAGCAGAUGGGCUCAAAAUAAACCUCUGGUUCAUCAUACACGCUCAGACAACCCUCCAGGAAAGGGAGGUCAGGAAAGGGAGGUUUUUGCCCUCCUUUGCAAGGUCUGUCCUGAGAUGUCAUUGUCCGGGCUUGGGAAGUACAGUCUCUGUCUGCCACACCAGGAAUGCCGUCAGCUUGAGAGGCAUGAGCCAGGAUCCAGCCUUAGAGAGCACUGCCAUCUCCUGGAAAACCCUCUAUACAUGAGGCCUGCUGUCUUCGCUCCUCCAACGCCACAAAUCAGAAAACAAGGCCUUGGUCACGGCCCUCUAUCUUUAGCACCAAAGGUCUGGGUACACAGAACCUUCAUCUUCUGCCCCUUCAAAUUGGAACACGCCAAUUCCUGAAGGAAAUGAAAAGUUAGGAAACUAAGAGAAGAUUCAGCUAGCUGUUGCUGCAAUUGUGCUGUGUAACAAACAACUACACGUUCU